GUGGGGAAUAUUGGACAAUGGGCGAAAGCCUGAUCCAGCCAUGCCGCGUGUGUGAAGAAGGUCUUCGAAUUGUAAAGCACUUUAAGUUGGGAGGAAGGGCAGUAAGUUAAUACCUUGCUGUUUUGACGUUACCGACAGAAUAAGCACCGGCUAACUUCGUGCCAGCAGCCGCGGUAAUACGAAGGGUGCAAGCGUUAAUCGGAAUUACUGGGCGUAAAGCGCGCGUAGGUGGUUCAGCAAGUUGGAGGUGAAAUCCCCGGGCUCAACCUGGGAACUGCCUCCAAAACUACUGGGCUAGAGUACGGUAGAGGGUAGUGGAAUUUCCUGUGUAGCGGUGAAAUGCGUAGAUAUAGGAAGGAACACCAGUGGCGAAGGCGACUACCUGGACUGAUACUGACACUGAGGUGCGAAAGCGUGGGGAGCAAACAGGAUUAGAAACCCCUGUAGUCC
RNAcentral lists this ribosomal RNA (450 nucleotides) under uncultured bacterium. Its description in RNAcentral is "bacterial SSU rRNA". It matches the Rfam family "Bacterial small subunit ribosomal RNA", at positions 354 to 796 of the family's 1533-position model. The record is from RNAcentral.